This is a long non-coding RNA of Gorilla gorilla gorilla (western lowland gorilla), 8102 nucleotides long. RefSeq lists it as uncharacterized. The record is from RefSeq and is a predicted model, not a curated record. The transcript is spliced from 3 exons. NCBI's taxonomy places the organism in Eukaryota, Metazoa, Chordata, Mammalia, Primates, Hominidae.
CUUGGCGGCAGUAGUGGUAUGAAGAGGACCUUCGGAGCCAGGUCUGCCCAUUCUUAGGGCUCCAGCCACUGGCUGAGGCAUCAGAAGUGAGGAGCAUCUCUGCCCGGCCGCCCAUCGUCUGAGAUGUGGGGAGCGCCUCUGCCCUGCCGCCCUGUCUGGGAUGUGAGGAGCAUCUCUGCUGGGCCGCAACGCCGUCUGGGAGGUGAGGAGCGUCUCUGCCCAGCCGCCCCGUCUGAGAAGUGAGGAGACCCUCUGCCUGGCAGCCGCCCCGUCUGAGAAGUGAGGAGCCCCUCCGCCCGGCAGCCGCCCUGUCUGAGAGGUUGCAAUUCUGACUGUGCUGGUGACGCUGGUUCCAGGUCCCUCAGGAACCCCUCCCCCAGUCUGGUCUGCCCUUGAACUCUAUACUGGCCCCAGGGUAUCCCAGGAUUGUCAGAAAGGCCUGGCCAGGAUUCACCUGGGAGAGGGAUCAGCAUCUCUGCAAAGUUGUUGGAUUGAAAGAACUUUCAUUUUGAGCUACAUCAUUGAAGAGCUUUAAAUCUGAAAAUAAGAAAGACGUUGAACCCUAUUACUCACAUCUCUUUGUCAUUUGAAGCAGAUCCCGAACCACUCAAAAGGACAAAACAAGGAAACAGCAAUGAAACUGGAUUCAGUGAAUGGGGUAAGGGUAUUAAGUGUCUGAAAUAUAAGUGAUAAAAAAAUUAGUUUUUACCUUUUUUUCUAUUUUCUAAAUGUUUUGGUGGCUAGAAUAAGAUAUACUUUGAACUCAAGAGCAAUAAAUGUUAAUAUAUUAAAAGUAGCUUUAUGAAAUAUGGAAAGUAUCUUUAUUUCAAAAUACUUCAAAGUAAUCAUCUGAAUAUUUAUCAGAAAUAUUAAGACAACUUAUUAAAUCCUGUAUUAAAAUGAUUGCUUAUUACUUUUUGUUUAUACUAGUCAGAAGUGAUUCUCUUCCACAUUUUAGAUUUUUCAGAGUAAAAAGGAUAUAAUUUUAGACUUUCAAUUGAAUAUAAACUGGGGUUUUUCCACACGAUUUGUGGACAUGACUGUCUGAUGGUGACUCUUAGGUAUUUAUGCUAAAAAUGUUAUUUUGGGGAUCCUUGGGAAUGGACUCUGAUAUUUAUUUAUUUAUUUAUUUAUUUAUUUAUUUAUUUAUUUAUUUAUUUAUUUUGAGGCGGAGUUUCACUCUUGUUGCCCAGGCUGGAGUGCAAUGGCACCAUGCCGGCUCAUCGCAACCUCCGCCUCCUGGGUUCAAGCAAUUCUCCUGCCUCAGCCUCCUGAGUAGCUGAGAUUACAGGCAUGCGCCACCACGCCCGGCUAAUUUUUUUAUAUUUUUAGUAGAGACGGGGUUUCUCCAUGUUAGUCAGGCUGGUCUCGAACUCCCGACCUCAGGUGAUUCACCCACCUCGGCCUCCCAAAGUGCUGGGAUUACAGGCAUGAGCCACCGUGUCCGGCUGGACUCUGAUAUUUAUAUUCAUUCACAUUAUUGGCCAGUAGGGAACUGAUAUCUGACUCAAAAAUUAGUAGGAUAUGAAAUCCUUCAUUCUAUCCAUGAGCUUGUUAUUCUUGAGAAAAAAAUUUACUUUGAGAGUCUGAGGAAUGAUAAGUUUGUUACAUUCCAGAAUCUAGUUUUGGUGUUGUGUCCAUCCUUUAGAUAGGGUGCAGCUCUGUAUUACCAUAGCAACAACUAAUUUUUGUUUCCAUAGCCACUGACUGCACUCUUGACCCUGCCUACCAUCUUGCAAAUGCAUCCUCUUGCUUAGAAGAACCAGGGGAGGGGUGGGGCAUGGUGGUUCAUGCCUGCAAUCCCAGCACUUUGGGAGGCUGAAGCGGGCAGAUCACUUUGAGCUCAGGAGUUCAAGACCAGCCUGGGCAAAAUGGCGAAACCGUCCCUUAAAAAUAAAAACAAAAUCGCACCACUAUACUCCAGCCUGGGAAACAGAGUGAGACCCUAUCUCAAAAGAAAAAAAAAAAAAAAAAAAAAGGGCCAGGCACAGUGGCUCACGUCUGUAAUCCCAGCACUUUGGGAGGCUCAGACGGGCAGAUCACCUGAGGUCAGGAGUUCGAGACCAGCCUGACCAACAUGGUGAAACCCCAUUUCUACUAAAAAUAAAAAAUUAGCCAGGCAUGGUGGAAUGCGCUAUAGUCCCAGCUACCAGGGAGGCUGAGGCAGGAGAAUCACUUGAACCAGGGAGGCAGAGGUUGCAGUGAGCCAAGAUCACGCCACUGCACUUCAGCCUGGAUGACAGAGUGAGACUCUGUCAAAAGAAAAGAAAAGAAAAAAGAGAGGGAGAGAAAGGAAGAAGAGAAAGAGAUGGAGGGAGGGAGGAAGGAAAAGAGAGAAAAAGAGAAGGAAGAGAAGGAAGGGAAAGAGGGAGGGAGGGAGGGGAGGAAGAGGAGGAGGAAGAAAGAAAAGAAGGGCAACAACCAGGGGAAGAAUAUGGAUGAAUCAGUCCAAAUUUAUCAUCAUCACUGUGCCUUUCUGGUGACAGGUCAGUGGUGAUAAUGUUCUUUGAGGAUGACUCCCUGCAGUACUAACGGAAGCACAAAAGUUCCAGAACUGGAUGACAGCUCACUUAUUUCAGGCUAGAAAAAAAUCUGGGCACACUAGGCUGAAUGAUAAGCUCCUUGGCAUGCUAGCCAAAAUCAGCUUAAAAGAGGGCUACCUGGGUACAAGAGAACCCUUAUUUUGGGUUGAAAAGCAGAAGCUUCCCAAGAGGGAAGAUACACUGAAGCUGAAGGUGUGGCAAUCCCCCCAACCAAUUAGACUGGGGAUGAAGGCUGCUUAGUUGGACUAGGAAAAGUAAUGGAUACUGGAUUCCAGAGUGGGCAAUGUUGGGAGGAGCAAGGUAGAAUGUGAUUUAAAGGGACUAAGAAAUUUUGGGCUGAGCUAGGCUAUAGGAGAAUGGUAGACAGACCUGAGGAUUUUGCUGGGCUGUGUCAGUCUGGGUUAUAGAAGGGGGUGGAAAUUACAGCUAAGGGACUUGGAGAUGAGGGGAGGUAAGAAGACAGAUCUGAUGGUAUUGAGGUAGGCGCUGCUAAGAGAAGCAUCAAACAGGAGGGCUAGCCCAGGUUUGAGCUGGACACUCCACUGACAGUUCUAAAGCAGAAAAUUAGGGAAGGAAUAGUCAGGGCCUUAUCAGCUAUGCAGUAGCUUCUAGAAGUCAACAGCUGGCUCUGGGAGGGAAAAGAUUGAGAAAAACAAAAGAAAUAAGAGCAGAAGGUAUAGGGGAGAAGGUAGGGGUGAGAGUUAUCAGUCUGGUUAGAGCUGGGCUAAACAUUUAGUCUUACCAUCAGUUUGAAAGCACCUGGACCAGUUAGUUGCUGUAUAGGCAAAGUCAAAGGGAGAAGCCUGGCCUCUCUCUACUCAGUCAAGGUUCAUGACUUUAGGAGACUGUAAUGAACCAGGCAUACCAGGAAAGGAAAAGGUUAACUGAGGUUGAAAAAAAAACUUUAUGUGGCACUUUUAAACAAGCAGGUUGGUUUGGCUUGUGUGACUAUGAUGGUGCCUGAUUUUGAGCAGAGCAAUUUGUGUUGUGACAUUUUAAAAUCCAUUCUGGCACUUGGUGAUGAAUGUGUCGGCUGGCAGCUAAGAACUUGCUAGAAUGCAAGUAUGCAAGUCUUCACCAUUUAUAAUCGACACUUCCCUUUCCAGGAAAGAGCCUUUCUAAUCUUUGAAUCAGUGGAUUUAUCAAUUUGCAUAAAAUAUGCCAUCCUCAAUGAACACAUAUUUAUCAUCUACCACUUAACUUUCCUUCUGUUAAAAAAAAAAAAAAAGCAGAAUCACCUUCCUGUGAGUCAGCAGCUUUAAAUUCAGCUGCGCUGGGUGAAGCUGUUAAGGGUAGGAAGGAGCCAUCACUAGAAGGGGGAGAAGCAGGAAUAAAAUGAUCCUUUUCUAUUUCCAUGAUUUUUUAUGUUUCUGUUUAAAUGGUUAAAUGCCCAAUUAGGUUAGAUGCUAAUUAAAUGUAAAAUUACUGGGCUGUUCCAAUAUGCAUGUUAAAGUUGUACUUCUUGGUUGUUUGUAAUUUACCUAACUCUUGAGAGAUCAUCAGAGAAGCCCAGCUGAGUUUAAAGGCUUCCAACUGCCCAGGAUAUGCAUCAGUUCCUGAACAAAAAAAGAACACCCCAGGAUCAACAGAAGCUACUACCAAAUCCUUCAAACACUACAUGCACCACAUGCUCACAUUUGUCCUAUUUUUGCUACUAUUUAUCCACAAAAAAGCCAAGCCUGAACUCCUUCUUGAGGCCAAAACUUAAAAAUAUACCAAAUGAAUCGGUUCAAAAUUUUACAAAUUUGGUUUGGCUUAAUCAUAACUGAUUCUUCAUACUAUUGACACCAUUGAUUCUUCAUACUAUAGAUACCACUCACUAAAAUUACAACUCAGUCACCUCUUCCCAUAUACCAUAUUUCAUUAAAAUCAAUGUAAGAUAAGAAAUGGUUACCAGAUGCCAUCGUUUCAGACCAAACCAUAUGUCAAAUUUUGAAUAAACCUAACAACACCUGAUUGGCUAAGUAGCACACCUAGAUUUAUUAAAAUCACUACACUCCUUUAAUGUCUGUAGGAGAACAUGUACGCACAAGCACACACACACACGUUGUGUGUGCAUUUAUAUAUAUAUAUAUGUAUAUGCUACUGCAAAAUUGAAGAGACUUUACCAAGUUCUGUCAUUGACAGGGACAUUAUAUAUAAAGAAUAUACAUACUGUAAUUCACCUCAUCAAGAGUUAAUUUUAUGGCCGGGCACAGUGGCUCACACCUGUAAUCCUAACACUUUGGGAGGCAGAUCACUUUGAGCUCAGGAGAUUUGAGACCAGCCUGGGCAACGUGGCAAAAACCCAUCUCUACAAAAAAAUACAAAGAUGAGCUGGGCGUGGUGACUCCCGCCUGUAGUCCCAGCUGUAUACAUGGGAGGCUGAGGCUGGAGGAUUGCUCGAGCCAGGUAGCAGAGGUUGCAGUGAGCCAAGAUUGUACCAGUGCACUCCGGCCUGGGUGACAGAGCAAGACCUUGUUUCAAAAAAAAAAAAAAAGAGUUAAUUGUACCAGGAACAUGUGGUGUCAAAAUUUAAAAUAUGUGAACUCUUUGACCCAGCAAUGCUAUUUUCAGGGAUAUAUCCUAAGAUCAUCACUAGUAAAGUAUAUAAAGAUGUGCAUGCAAGAAUAUUCAUCAUGGCUUUCUUUAUACAAUGAAAAAUUGGAAAUAAACUUCUCAUUAAUGGGGUGCUGGUUAAAGAAAAUCAUUAAUGUAAUAUGCAGCCAUCUAAAAGGGUAAUUGAUAUGUAUAUAUAUUUACAUAAGAAAACCCUCAUGUCAUAUUGCUGAGUAAAAAGAAAGAUGUCAAUGAGUAUUCAUGAUGUGAUUCUAUUUAUCCUUGCAAAUGGUGGAAAUUCAGUUAUAUGGUAUUUUCUCUCUUUUGUUUGUUUUUCAUAUAUGUAUAUAUUUCCUUUGAAAUCAGAAAAAAAUCAAGCUAUUUUCAUCAGAGGAAAAAAAUCAUUACUCUGUAUUUCAGUCACACUAAAAUAGUCACCCAAGAAGCCAGUUGUAGCUCUUUUAUUUCUGUGCCUUCUGUUGGAAGGAAAACUGUACAUAAACAGACCACAUUACAGAGAAAAUUUGAAUGGAUGGUGUCUGGUGCCUAAACCAAAACAGAGGUGAAAUAUUAUACAAACUGAAGAGGAUGACUUUAUCAUAGUGUUUGAAAUAAUUGUGUGUGUGUGUGUGUGUGUGUGUGUGUGUGUUGUGUGUGUGUAGAUAAAUACUAGUAUAUUUUCAUUACUAACCAAAAACAUAAUGUAAGUUCCAAAUGGCAGCAAAGAAUAUAAUUACCUUUGGCUUUUCUUACAUAAGUUACCACCCCAUAAAUCUUUAUGUUAAUUUGGAAAAAUCUGACCUGAACAGAUGGACCUCAUGCUGUUCUCUAAAACAUGAACAGAUUUCUGAUCUUCUGGACCAGGAAAUGAAGUCAGCACUAAAAGAGGAGACACCAUCAUCCAGCUCCUAGCAUUUCAAUCUAAGAAUCUGUAAUAAAAGCAGUAUUUCCCUCUACAGAAAUAUAGCAAAGUAAUAUGUUUACAUCUUAAUGAAAUGUACUCUUGAUAUGAUAAAACACAGUGUGAUAUUUAUGGCACUGGUGGUGCUGGCUGUCUGGUCCCUGAACCUCACCAAUUUUGGAGAAUCCCCUUGCUGUGGUUCUUGGCAGGUAGGGCAUUUGGCUUGAUGCUCCCAAGUUUCUUAUGGAAGGCACAUCUCUGGGGCUGACACUCUGCGUGGAUAAAUCUUCAUCUCAUUAGCCCAAGGGCCUUUUUUCCAUGAGCAUUUUCACAGAAGCUGUUUCACAAAUCAACUCCAUUGGUGUUGAAGACCUAAUAAAGGGCUCUCUAUCAAGUAAUUACAGCACUGAGGUUUGAAUUUCUGCUCUACAACCUUCUAGUUGUUUAAUUUAUGUUGGGAAGAGACUGGUGGGAUAAGCAGGCCUGAAUCUGAGGAAGAACUGGGGCCAAGGAGGUGGCCUGUGAGGUCAGGAGAUUGGUUACAUAAAAGAAGAAUGAGUAAAUAGUUAAAUAUAUCGAGGAUAAUGGAAGCCAGAUUUUUUUUACCAAGAGAGAAGGAAGUUACAAAUAGAAUAAGGGUGAAGACUAGAAUGAACCCUGUAGUGUUGGAGUAGAGCUAGAGAUAUUGGAGUAAAUUCAUGAGUUUUAAUAUAAAUGGAGAGAAAGAUAUAUAAAUAGAUAUAGGGGUGUGUGUGUGGGUGUGGGUGUGUGUGUGGGUGUGGGUGUGUGUGAAUUUCCUAGCUCUGUCUGCUAAAAUGGCCUAAAAACAGUUACACUCCAGUAGCAAUGACCACACCUAGCAUCCAGAGCUUGGUUCUAAAAAUCCAUUCUCAAGUAAAAGCAACCAGAGCUCAGUGGAGAAACAGGUGAUGAAAUAACUGCAAUGAUUGUGGCAGAAAAAAUACCAGAAGAGCCUGAAAUGUCUUGCACCCCAAAAAAGUACUCUCAGAAUGAUACAGAGAUGCCAAAAGGACACAGGAGCUGGCUUGAAGGGUAUCCCAAUGGCUGGAACUGGAGCAUUUUCAGCAUCAAAACCAAUAGUGAUAAUAAUGGCUUAUGAUCUAUUGGAUAAAAUAGAAAUCCACAAGUCCACACUGAUGGAAAUAAGCCAAUAAGAAGGGAGAGGAAAAAACUUCUGUACAAUAGAAUCCCAACUAGUAAAUGGAAAACAAAUGUUGUAAUUAGAAAAACUACAAUUUGGCAAUCAUCCUAGUAACAGUUUAUGCAAGAAUCAUAAAAUAAGCAAGUGAAACUUUGUUAAGAAACCAGAUGUUUACAUAGCCUCAAAGUGUCCUCCUACAAAAUACUUAUUAAUUCAAAGGGAAAGAGAAUAACUUAACAGUGGAGAAAUUAUCACCUUAAGCCAUCAAAGUUAACAUCACCAACAAAAAAACAAUAUUAUGUGCCUUUUAAUAUGAUACAUUUGGAAGAAUACAAUUUCACUUCUAUCACAUUCCUGCCAAAAAAAUGUAUCACCUGAAUCUAAUCAAGAAGAAACAUCAGACAAACCUAAAAUGAGGAACUCUACAAAAAAAAAAAAAAAAGAAAAAGGCCUGAACUCAAAAAUGUCAAGGUCACUAAAGAUAAGGAAGGACUGAGGAAAUGUCACAAAUUAAAGAUUAAAGAGACAUAACAACUAAAUGUAAUUCAUAAUCCUGACUUUGAUUCUAGACCAAAAGUAAGAAAUAUUUUUUCAAAAAGGAAAUUGUUAGGACAAAUGACAAAUUUUGAAUGUGGUGUGUGGAUUAGAUAGUGGAAUUAUAUCAAUGUUAAAUUUCUGAUUUUGGCGAUAACACUGUGGUUAUGCAGGAGAGGGUCCUUGUCUUAAAGGAAAACAUUUAAGUAGUUAGGGAUAAUUGGAUAUCACCUCUGCAACUUACCUUCAAUUGGUUCAGAAAAAGAAAAUGAAUGGCAAAACAAAUGUAAAAUGUUUACAAUUGGAGAACUUGGGUGAAGAAUAAUAAGAGAGUUAUCUUUUACCCAGGAGUGUGUUGUAUUAUAUUUGCAACUUUUAUGUAAGUUUGAAAUUACUGCAAAAUAAAAAGUUACAAAAAUGGCAA